RNAcentral lists this unclassified non-coding RNA (361 nucleotides) under Hevea brasiliensis (rubber tree). The record is from RNAcentral. Lineage: Eukaryota; Viridiplantae; Streptophyta; Magnoliopsida; Malpighiales; Euphorbiaceae.
GCAAAAUGCAACUCGUGCAGCACCGUUACCAAAAAAAGCCCUAGAAGCAAAAGGGUAACUAGCAGCAACAGAAGCAGCAGCAGCUGUGGUAGCCAACUUGGCUGAGAAAAUACCAUAAGAAUGAAGGGUUUGACCAUUAAAGCUUGGAUUUUUCUUCAGUAGAUCCAAUAAUAUAGCUAUUCCCGCCAUUGAAGGGGUUAUUCAGAAACUUGUAUUCUAUUCAAUAAAUCAAGAAAGCCUAUUCUUUUUUUUAGAGUAAUAUUGAAGAUUCAACACCAUAACCAAACUUCUUGAUUUUGCACAACACCAUAUAUGAGCUAAAAUCUGUAGUCUUUUUAGGUUUACAGCAGAAAAUAGAUUA